CCCGAAAUGAUAAACGUAAAACAUUCCUAAUUUAUGUACAAACAAACGAUCGAAAAACGAACAUGUAUAUAACACAUUAACAAACGACAACCACUGAAAUAAAGGUUCCUCCUGACUUGGGACAGACACAUGUAUACAGAAUGUGGCGGGUUUUAACAUGUUAGCGGGAUACCAACCCUCCCUCUAACCUGGCACAGUGGCGUAAUAGAAC
This 211-nucleotide long non-coding RNA is filed under the name Mytilus galloprovincialis (Mediterranean mussel). The record is from RNAcentral. Lineage: Eukaryota; Metazoa; Mollusca; Bivalvia; Mytilida; Mytilidae.